CUUAUUAAACGACUCCGUUUAUACCAAGUUCCUGCACCUGACUUCCCUGCCACCAACACGCACCCAUUACAAAGAAUCAAGAAGGGGACCAAGUGCUUCGACAUCCAGGCAAAUUACUUUGAUUAGAAGAAGGACGAAAGGAAGGCGAGACCUGGGAAACCUCACUGCUCUUUCGCUCCUAGCUGGAGUCACCAUCUGUUAAGGGUUACCUCGGUGGAAGCCAACAAUCUUCAGUUGGAGCAGUUAGACGGUGGACCACUGAAAGCCCUGACGCCCAAAACACUUUGGUAAAGCCCAAUAGAGAAAGACCAUUGACUGUCUGAGCCCCCCAGGAGGUAUCCAAUCCACCAGAACCAGUGAGUUCUGAUCAGUCUGAUUCUCUGAGUCAGAACAGCUUGGAGGACCUAGGGGUUCUGCCUAACACCCAGACGUGGAUUCACCUGAUGUACUCCAUUACCAACCACCCUCCAACUUUUCAUUACAUCAUCUACUGUUAUUGUCAUGUUGUCAUUACCUGCUAAGAACAUUUUCUUGCUCUAUCAUACUGGGCACAUAAUAUGUGAGAUACAAAGAUUAACUAAAACACUAGCACUGCAAACACUCAGAACAAAGAGAGCCGCAGUGCUUGGACUUUGCAGUCUCCUUCUCCAGUCCCAAUUCCAAGACUGGCUUCCUGUUGAGAAUAAGUGGCAGGCAGAACCUCCCACCCACACAGCAACCACUCUAUAUGCCACACACCAGAAUUCAGUAUUUUAGUCUGAUUGCCAUGUGAAUGUACAACAAAUCUGUGAAAAUAAAUUAAU
This is a long non-coding RNA of Salvelinus sp. IW2-2015, 803 nucleotides long. RefSeq lists it as uncharacterized. Lineage: Eukaryota; Metazoa; Chordata; Actinopteri; Salmoniformes; Salmonidae. The record is from RefSeq and is a predicted model, not a curated record.